GCCCAGCCGUAAACAAUUAACUUACACCUAUAAGCGCCAGGGAAUUACGAGCUACGCUUAAAACCCAAAGGAUUUGACGGUGUCCCACCCACCUAGAGGAGCCUGUUCUACAAUCGACAAUACCCGCUAUACCUAACCCCCUCUUGCUAUUCAGUCUGUAUACCUCCGUCGAAAGCUUACCAUGUGAACGUUUACAGUAAGUACAAUAGCCCCUCAACGGCAACACGUCAGGUCAAGGUGCAACUUAAGUGGUGGGAAGCAAUUGGCUACAAUUUCUAGUCUAGAACAAACGAAAAACUAUGUGAAAUCAUGGUCAUGAAGGCGGAUUUAGCAGUAAAAAGAAAAUAGAGUGUUCUUUUUAACCUGGCUCUGGGACGCGUACACACCGCCCGUCACUCUCUUCGAUAGUAUUACAAACAGUCCAUAACCAAUCUACACGUUUUAGAAGAGGGAAGUCGUAACAUGGUAAGUGUACUGGAAAGUGCACUUGGAAUAAACAAAAUGUAGCUUAACAAAGCUCUUCGCUUACACCGAGAAGAUAUCUGUUCGAAUCAGAUCAUUUUGAGCCUCAAAUCUAGCCCACAUGACCCGCAUGAAAACCUUAAACUACUGAAAAAAAUAAAUCAUUUUAACAUUCUAGUAUAGGUGAUAGAAAAAUUACUAAGCGCCUUAGAAAUAGUACCGCAAGGGAAAUAUGAAAUAGAAGUGAAACAAUAUUGCAGCCACAAACAGCAGAGACAUCACCUUG
RNAcentral lists this ribosomal RNA (748 nucleotides) under Odorrana hosii (Mount Dulit frog). Its description in RNAcentral is "partial 12S ribosomal RNA". The stretch from base 1 to 503 matches the Rfam family "Bacterial small subunit ribosomal RNA", at positions 794 to 1533 of the family's 1533-position model. Lineage: Eukaryota; Metazoa; Chordata; Amphibia; Anura; Ranidae. The record is from RNAcentral.